RNAcentral lists this ribosomal RNA (492 nucleotides) under uncultured bacterium. RNAcentral describes it as "partial 16S ribosomal RNA". It matches the Rfam family "Bacterial small subunit ribosomal RNA", at positions 29 to 507 of the family's 1533-position model. The record is from RNAcentral.
AGUGAACGCUGGCGGUAGGCCUAACACAUGCAAGUCGAACGGCAGCACAGUAAGAGCUUGCUCUUACGGGUGGCGAGUGGCGGACGGGUGAGGAACACAUCGGAAUCUACUUUUUCGUGGGGGAUAACGUAGGGAAACUUACGCUAAUACCGCAUACGACCUACGGGUGAAAGCAGGGGAUCUUCGGACCUUGCGCGAUUGAAUGAGCCGAUGUCGGAUUAGCUAGUUGGCGGGGUAAAGGCCCACCAAGGCGACGAUCCGUAGCUGGUCUGAGAGGAUGAUCAGCCACACUGGAACUGAGACACGGUCCAGACUCCUACGGGAGGCAGCAGUGGGGAAUAUUGGACAAUGGGUGCAAGCCUGAUCCAGCCAUACCGCGUGGGUGAAGAAGGCCUUCGGGUUGUAAAGCCCUUUUGUUGGGAAAGAAAAGCAGCAGGUUAAUACCCCGCUGUUCUGACGGUACCCAAAGAAUAAGCACCGGCUAACUUCGUG